This 6450-nucleotide long non-coding RNA is filed under the name Brassica napus (rape). Its description in RNAcentral is "long non-coding RNA (BNAP_LNC026021)". Lineage: Eukaryota; Viridiplantae; Streptophyta; Magnoliopsida; Brassicales; Brassicaceae. The record is from RNAcentral.
CCGUUAAAUCCCGAGCUAGUUUAGUACUACCAUUAUGGAAAGUUUAGUUUCGAAACAUGAUCCGUCUUUGUGAAUCGAGUCUAUUUGAGAGUCUUGCUUGUUCAUUAUUGAUAUUGAUUGUUAACUGGAAUUAGGAUAAUAGAGGAUUCAACGAUUGUGUGAAAUGAUUGAUGCUAAGAACUGCUAUAUAUAUGUAUAUACAUAGUUAUGAGUAGGGACUAUGUGAUGAGGGCGUGAGUUCAGAGAUGUCUGAGCUUCGACGCUACGGUGUGAUAUGGGCGUGAGUUCAGAGACGUUUGAGCUUCGACGCUACUGUUUGGGGCGUGGUGCAGAGACGUUUGCAUUCGACGCUACGAUGGGCGGGGGUACAGAGACAAACUGUACUAGCGACGCUUCGAGUAUAUGUAUAUAUCCGUAUGAGGAGAUGCGUGGUGCAGAGAGUAGCUAUGUACUAUAAGCGCAUGAGUUGUAACGGCUAGUCCUCUAGCCGAAUAUUGAUUAUUAUGUGUGGUGUAAUAGGCACCGUGUUUGUUUCAUGCUAGAGCUAGGCCUACAUUUUAGUAGUGCUAUGAACUCAGUCUGUGGUUUGCGGUUUAGCAUCCCAUACCUCGCUGGGCAACUCCCCUGUUGCUCACCCCUCCUUCUUUCCCCCUUUCAGGUGAGACCGACGAGCAGGAGUGAUUAUCGGACCGGUGCUAUUGGGCUUUUGGGCUUCUAUCGCUUUNNNNNNNNNNNNNNNNNNNNNNNNNNNNNNNNNNNNNNNNNNNNNNNNNNNNNNNNNNNNNNNNNNNNNNNNNNNNNNNNNNNNNNNNNNNNNNNNNNNNNNNNNNNNNNNNNNNNNNNNNNNNNNNNNNNNNNNNNNNNNNNNNNNNNNNNNNNNNNNNNNNNNNNNNNNNNNNNNNNNNNNNNNNNNNNNNNNNNUGAUCAGGAGGUUCUUAGAUGGGAUGCGAGUAGAGCUUCGUGGUAGGUGCAGUGUGGUUACCUACACCAGUUUGGAGGAUCUGGUAGAGAAGGCGGCUGUGCAGGAGAAAUGUAUGGGUGAGGAGCAGAAGUUCUCCAAAGCAGUUCAGCCUAAGGCAGGAGGGGCUUCGGGGUCGCAGAAGAGGCCUUGGGAGCAGACUGGAGCACCCCGUUGUGGGCGUUGUCGUCGCCACCAUUUUGGGGAAUGUUUCCAGUGCUAUAAUUGCGAUCAGUUUGGGCAUCUUGCGAAGAACUGUAGGAAGCCACCACGAACUCAGGUUGCAACACCAGCAGCAGCAGUAGCACCAGCAGUGGCAACGAGGAACUGUUACGGCUGCAACCAGCCGGGUCACAUCUACAGAGAUUGUCCGAGGAGAGGCAAUGCGGCACUUCCACCACCACCGAAGCGUCUAGCCAUCGCUCCACGUGUCUUUGCAGUUGGAGAUCCCCAGGGAGCUGAGCCGAUAGCGGGUAUGUUCUUAUCAUACUUGCUUGUGUUAAUAUUUGUGGUUUUGUGGUUAUCUUGUAUAGUUCGAGAUUUGUGAAUCUCGUGUAUGAUUGGUUGUGGUUGGUGUGAGUUACCUCACAGCUUAUUUGACUUAAGAGCUUUUCAUAGUUUUGUGAGUUCGCGUUUGGUUAAGUUUUAGUCUUUUUAGGGGGAUCUUCUAACCGAAAGAUAAGCAGAUUUAGAUUGUUGUUAUGGAGAGCUUGUUGUUAUGGAGAGUUUGAGAGCGAUCAGGAAUUCAUCGUGAUGUACCUGUUAUCAUUUGAGUAUUAUGAUGGCACCGUCGAAGUUUUAUGGUGGGUCUGGUCGUACACCACUUUGUUGGACCAAAGUGGGGGAGCAAUAUGAGUUAGAACUAUUAAUGGUUCAAGAGACGGUAGAGCAAAGGACAUGCUCAAGGAUUAGCUUUCGGAAGCCCAUGACGUCAGAGGAUUUAUGCAGCUAAGCACCGUGAGGAUUUGGAGCUACAUAUGGGCAUACCUUAAAAUAAGGACAUUUCAGGAGGGACCUAAGACUCAGAAGAUAAAGGAGCUUAAACCGAGACACAUGGAAUUGUAUCCUUCACUGGAGUAGAUUGGAUUAGUUGCUUGCUAUUACUUUAUCAGCAGUAUAUCAGCCUUCUAGGACUUGGUUCAUAUGACAGCAUUGCAAAAGUUGAGAAUGCGCUAUAAUUAUUUUGCAGUAGACUAAGUCAGGGUAAGAUGUCUAUCAGGGAGUAUGAGGUUGUGUUUAACCAACUUCGCAGGUUUGCUGGAGAGGGCAUUUUAGAGGAAGACCUGAUGAGGAAAUUUCUGAAUGGGAUGCGAGUAGAGAUUCGCAACAGGUGCCGUGUCGCCACUUAUCACAGAUUGGGAGACUUGGUGGAGAAAGCUGCCGAGCAGGAGGCAGGUUUGGCAGAGGAGCAGAAGUACACCAAGGCAGAUCAGCCUAAGUUUGGAGGGAAUUUAGAGGCACAACAGAGGACAUGGGACAAACCGAGCAUACAAUGCUUUUAUUGUGGAAAGAUGGGACAUAAGAGUAGGGUUUGUCGGAGUAGGCUAUUUGAUGCCCAGGUUGCGCCACCAGCAGCGGCAGCAGCACCAGUAGUGGAUGUUAGGAACUGUUUUGGUUGUAACCAGCCUGGUCACAUUUUCAGAGACUGUCCGAGGAGGGGUAAUGCAGCGCUUCCACCACCACCGAAGCGUUUAGCCAUCGCUCCACGUGUGUUUACGGUUGGAGAUCCCCAGGGAGCUGAGCCGAUAGCGGGUAUGUUCUUAUCAUACUUGCUUGUGUUAAUAUUUGUGGUUUUGUGGUUAUCUUGUAUAGUUCGAGAUUAGUGAAUCUCGCGUAUGAUUGGUUGUGGUUGGUGUGAGUUACCUCACGGCUUAUUUGACUUAAGAGCUUUUCAUAGUUUUGUGAGUUCGCGUUUGGUUAAGUUUUAGUCUUUUUAGAGGGAUCUUCUAACCGAAAGAUAAGCAGAUUUAGAUUGUUGUUAUGGAGAGCUUGUUGUUAUGGAGAGUUUGAGAGCGAUCAGGAAUUCAUCGUGAUGUACCUGUUAUCAUUUGAGUAUUAUGAUGGCACCGUCGAAGUUUUAUGGUGGGUCUGGUCGUACACCACUUUGUUGGACCAAAGUGGGGGAGCAAUAUGAGUUAGAACUAUUAAUGGUUCAAGAGACGGUAGAGCAAAGGAUAUGCUCAAGGAUUGGCUUUCGGAAGCCCAUGACGUCAGAGGAUUUAUGCAGCUAAGCACCGUAAGGAUUUAGAGCUACAUAUGGGCAUACCUUAAAAUAAGGACAUUUCAGGAGGAGCCUAAGACUCAGCAGAGGAUCAGUUAUCUAUCAUGUUAUUUUUGAGCUUGCUUUUGCCGGAGUGGAAAUGAGGCAUGGUGAUUAUGGACAUUGUUAUUGGAUUUUAAAUCACCAUAUGUGGAAAGGAUGCCACAUGGGUAGUCAUGGAUAGACUUACCAAGUCAGCCCAUUUCCUAAGUAAUUAAGAAGACAAUCAGAGCUAAUCAAUUGGAGCAGACCUACAUUAUUGAGUUUGGGAAGUUUCAUGGAUGUCAACAUUGUAUCGGAUUGGGAAUCGAAGUUCACAUCUACAUUUCAGAGAGCCUUUCAGAAGGCACUUGAGACAAAGAUCAUAUGAGUACAGCUUAUCACCCAUUGACAUAUUGUCAGUCAGAGAGGACUACUCAGAACUUAAAGGAUAUGUUCAGAGAUUGCGUUGGAUGGAAUUUCGGAAAGCAUCUACCUAUACCAGAGUUUGCCUACAUCGACAACUAUCUUUUGAGUAUUGAAAAACAAAAUUAUUAUAUGAGGGUUAUUUAUGGUAGACUUUAUAGUAUACCACUUUGUUGGACCAAAGUGGGGGAGCAAUAUGAGUUAGAACUAUUAAUGGUUCAAGAGACGGUAGAGCAAAGGACAUGCUCAAGGAUUGGCUUUCGGAAGCCCAUGACGUCAGAGGAUUUAUGCAGCUAAGCACCGUGAGGAUUUGGAGCUACAUAUGGGCAUACCUUAAAAUAAGGACAUUUCAGGAGGGACCUAAGACUCAGAAGAUAAAGGAGCUUAAACCGAGACACAUGGAAUUGUAUCCUUCACUGGAGUAGAUUGGAUUAGUUGCUUGCUAUUACUUUAUCAGCAGUAUAUCAGCCUUCUAGGACUUGGUUCAUAUGACAGCAUUGCAAAAGUUGAGAAUGCGCUAUAAUUAUUUUGCAGUAGACGUCAAGUGAGUUCAUAAAUAUUUUAUGGACUUUAUCAUCUAUUGAAGAUUUUGGAUCAUCAUGAGAAAACAGUUCCGGGAAUAUCGACUGUGUUUGUCCGAGUUCGUUGGGGAGGGAGAUAAGACUCAGGAGGAGACCUGAAAGGCCGAGCGAAGAUUAGUAUUCGAGGUUUUGCUAUGAUGACAUUGGGCACGUCAGCUUAUGACAUGAAUUCGGGGACGAAUUCCUUAUAAGUGGGGGAGAAUUGUAAUGACCCACCACUCCCACCAUCUCCACUUCUUUCUCCAACCCCACCACACCGCCAUGUUUUUGAGUUAAGUUUCGGCCGUUUUAGUAAAUCGACCAUAACUUUCUAACCGUAAUGAAUCUCGUGAAUCCAAGACUACCAUCAUGUUCCUCUCGUCGAGACGAAUCCGUGGCCACCAAAAACGCCUCAAUCGGAGUCCGGACGAAGCCGCACGCGCCUCCGGAAGUUUCGCCUCUGCGCGCGUGCAUCUUGUUUUUUUUGCUCACCUUUUCAGUAACAGAUUUAUCAUUUAUCUUUUCUUUUUGUAUUGGCAAUUCUUCUCAAAUAAUCUUUUUUUUACUAUUUUCAUAGAAAGUUAACUAUAUAUCCUCGUCAUCAUGCACCGUCUAUCCUCGUCGUAGAGUUUCAGUAGAAGUCCUGUCGGAUUGGAAAAGACGAUCAUUUAUAUUUUUUGAUUUCAAUGGAGCUUAAGAGAUUCAUGUACAUCUUGUGAACCAAUGUAUUCAUCACACGAUCGAAAACAACAAAGUUACCUGUUAUAAUAUUCCGUAUGUAUAAUUAACAUGUUAUCUGUUACAUUAUAUUUUAUCGUUGACAUUGUUCAUACUUAUCGCAUGAUCGUAAUUGUUAAUUAGAUCAAUAGUGGCUACAGUUUUUACGUAUAUGUGUUGAUGACGAUUUGUCACUGGUCUAUAAUUAAAGUUAAAUGUCAGUAAUUUCUUCUGAAGGGCAUAUGACAAAGGAUGAACCCAAUUUCGUUACACUUAUGAUAUUAACGGCUAACAAUCGUCUUAACUGUUAAAUCAAAUAUUAGUGGUUAUGCAUUACUAUACAUCCGAGUGAAACUAGAGAGGCUAGAGAAGUGUGAGAGUUAGUGAUUGUAUACAAAGCAUGUAAUCUCUAAGUGUGUUAGUAAAUAUAUUGUUAGUUAAGUAUUAAUAUUAUAUGCUAAUAAUAUAACAUAAAUCAAGUCUUUUAUUUUAGAUGAGCAUGAAUUAAUAUCUUCUUACACAUAGAUAAAACAAGUAACUAAGAAAAUGUUAGCUAACAUAAAUGUUAUCAAGAUGCCUCCAAGUUAACCACCACCUUUGGGACCAACGAAAGCCAAACGAUGUGUUUGAUGUUCUUAUUUGUCACUAUGAUGGCGUGACUCCCAACUUCUUCUCAUAUUUGUCAUCUUUGACGAACAUCAUACUGGUCAUCUAAACACAUAGAAUUGACAAAAUGGUGGCUAAGAAUUAUAUGUAAGAUGAAAAAUAAAAUGUUAAUCAUCACAACUAGGAGACAAGAAUUUGAAGUAUCCUUAUAACGUCUUUGUCCUUUCCUAUAGUUCUUCAUACAUGCACCAUAUUUUGAAGCCACUGACCAAAUAUGUGUGAACUAAAAGUCACAUAAAAUGUAACAUCUAACAAAACAUAUAUUAUUUAACUUAAACAUUUUUAGAGUAGCUAACAAACAAUACAUCAACUAACAACACCUAUUUAAUAAAAUCUUAACAACCAGUUAUUCAUUAGCCGCAACAUAUUUUGUAACAUCUAACUUAACAUGUAGAUGCUAAUGGCAACACAUGAUGCCUAUUUAUAGCAACUAUCCAAACAUGUGUAAGCACAUGGUACAUAUUUGUAGCUUCGAACAGUUACGCUAACUUAUUUUGUAGAAGCUAACUAAAUAUGUAUCAGUUAACAUUAUCUAUUUUGUGGGUUCUAAUCAGAAAAUAAAAUGUAACGACUAAGUAUGUCCAAAACUGCUACCUCGUAUGUUAUCUUUAAUGAACUUCGAAUGGUGAUUUGCCACACAUCGUUUGGAAUCAAGAUGACAGAGCUUGAAAUCAAUGUCUACAUGGUACUUACAGGUGAACAAGAGGAAGAGCCACAUCGUAAAAAAGUACUAUAAGCGCAUGAGUUGUAACGGCUAGUCCUCUAGCCGAGUAUUGAUUGUUAUGUGUGGUGUAAUAGGCACCGUGUUUGUUUCAUGCUAGAGCUAGACCUACAUUUUAGUAGUGCUAUGAACUCAGUCUGUGGUUUGCGGUUUAGCAUCCCAU